RNAcentral lists this ribosomal RNA (468 nucleotides) under uncultured bacterium. RNAcentral describes it as "partial 16S ribosomal RNA". It matches the Rfam family "Bacterial small subunit ribosomal RNA", at positions 28 to 507 of the family's 1533-position model. The record is from RNAcentral.
GACGAACGCUGGCGGCGUGCUUAGCACAUGCAAGUCGAACGGAAAGGCCCUGCUUUUGUGGGGUGCUCGAGUGGCGAACGGGUGAGCAACACGUGAGUAACCUGCCCUUGACUUUGGGAUAACUUCAGGAAACUGGGGCUAAUACCGGAUAGGAGCUCCUGCUGCAUGGUGGGGGUUGGAAAGUUUCGGCGGUUGGGGAUGGACUCGCGGCUUAUCAGCUUGUUGGUGGGGUAGUGGCUUACCAAGGCUUUGACGGGUAGCCGGCCUGAGAGGGUGACCGGCAACAUUGGGACUGAUGUACGGCCCAGCCUCCACGGGGAGGCAGCAGUGGGAAAUUUUGCACAAGGGGCGGAGGCCUGAGGCAGCAACCCCGCGUGGGGGAGGACGCCUUUCGGGUUGUAACCCGCUUUCGCCGGUGACGAAGGGGGGGUGAGGGUAAGGGGUAAAAAAGCACGGGCUAACUAGGUG